This 82-nucleotide transfer RNA is filed under the name Anaerolineaceae bacterium. RNAcentral's name for it is "tRNA-Leu". It matches the Rfam family "tRNA". From Rfam's summary of the family: Transfer RNA (tRNA) molecules are approximately 80 nucleotides in length. The record is from RNAcentral. Lineage: Bacteria; Bacillati; Chloroflexota; Anaerolineae; Anaerolineales; Anaerolineaceae. RNAcentral also lists the same sequence under 2 other names.
GGGCGAGUGUCGGAAUUGGCAGACGAGCAUGACUUAGGAUCAUGUGCCGCAAGGCGUGAGGGUUCGAGUCCCUCCUCGCCCA